GCCUCGGUAGCGCAGUAGGCAGCGUCAGUCUACAAUCACUGCAGAGUAAUCUGAAGGUCGUGAGUUCGAUCCUCACCGGGGCA
RNAcentral lists this transfer RNA (83 nucleotides) under Araneus ventricosus. RNAcentral describes it as "tRNA-Cys". Lineage: Eukaryota; Metazoa; Arthropoda; Arachnida; Araneae; Araneidae. The record is from RNAcentral.